Non-coding RNA from Ciona intestinalis (vase tunicate), 687 nucleotides. Lineage: Eukaryota; Metazoa; Chordata; Ascidiacea; Phlebobranchia; Cionidae. The record is from RefSeq and is a predicted model, not a curated record.
UGCACUUGGUAAACGAAAGUUAGUUAGAAUAAUAAUAACUAAAACAAGCUAUCAAAGAUCAAAUUUAUUAAGUUUUUUCACCUUAUUUUGGCAACAAACAAAACGUCACUUGUACAUUCAUUGCCCAACAUCGAUUUUACGAAAAAGUUUAUUCAUUCUAAAACUUAACGAAUUUUCCCUAAAGUAAGAAUGUAGUUAAAGGGGACGAAUUACUGAACGUUAGUAUUUUGGGUUGAAAUUGAAAGUAAACCGAAACAAUCAAUGAUAUAACUUAAGCAUAGUUUGUGUGAAUAUUUACCAUGAAAUUCAAUUAUGAAACAAUAAUCGUGAAAAAAGUAUAAAUUAUAAAACAUUUGCUACAAUUUUGUAAGAUUUGCUGGGUUUGUAUAAUAACGCCCAAACAAGCACGAAACGAAAUGGAAAUGUCUACACUGAACGACGAUGCCACCACUGCGGUAAUGAACACAACACCAACAGUGGUCGAUAAAGCUAAGGUGAUGCAGGGAAUGUUUAUGAAGUCACUCGAGCAAAACGUUGGCGACAACCCUGGUCUAGCGUUGCAACUUCUCCAGGCAUUCCUGGUCCUUUACACGAUGAUAUAUGUUGGGACUAUGUUGUUUGUUGCUGUGAAAUGUGAUUGGAAAAUGCCCUUGUAUUAUGCAGAACACGACAGAAAAACCUAAGCUA